UUGUUUCCUUUUGUACAAAAUACAAUAAAUAAAUAUAUAAAUAAAAUGUGUUGAGAAAGAGAGAGACCUCAUCUUUUGUUGCUUGACGAAGCAGUGGAGUUCGGUGAUCUAUUGGGGUAAUCUCAAUAGAGUGUGACAUCCCUCUUUAAUUACUUUCUUCAACUGUAUAAUUCCUACAAGCAACAGAUAUCGGUUUAAAAUGGUAUGACACAAAAAUUAUUAUUAUUAAUCCAAUUCAUUGCAGAAUUUGAUUUGAAAAGAAAAGACAAAAAUUAAAAAAAAAAUGAAAUCUCGUAUUAUCUCUUCUUAUGAAAAGAAAACUAGAUGUCUUGUACGUUAUCCUGGUAGAAAUUCUAAUUCUUAGAUUGAACGAACUAAUUUGUUCUACAAAAUAUUUUUCAAAAGAAUAUCAGGAAGGAUACACUUUUUAAGUAAUUGAAAACACAAAAGCUUUAUUAUUCAUAUCUAUAAUCUAUAUACAUUGUUCAUUUUAUAUCAUCCUACACUAUUGGCAUUUUGAGGGAGUGGUAGACAUUUCUUUGAGGGAAUUACUAGCUAGUAGACAUUUCUUUUGGAUGAGUCUGGCUCUGAUAUCAUGUUUGAAAAAUGAAUACUGGGUCUAAUUCAACCCCAAAAGCUAGUUCAUGAGAUGAGAAUUCAAGACCAUUUAAGAAGACUAAGUUACGGAGUACAACAAAAGGAAAAACAAUACAGGCGCACUAAAUAUUAAGAAUGAUUUAUGCAGAAUAUGCCUAAGCAGCAUGAAAAAAGAGAAAUACUAGAGUCUUUGAGCAAACUGCUGAGAGACACUGUAAUAGUAUAACGGGAGAAUAGCUCGUAUUUAUAAUGUAAGAACAUCAGGGACAUUUAGGAUUGUGCUUCAAAAGUUAUAAUUUCAUUAACUAGUCUAUAUGAUGUAAUAAGAGUUGUAAGUGUUAUAUGAGUAAAGAAUUUUGAAUAAACCCUCCCUAGGAAUUGUGCUUCAAGAUUUCAUAUUCUCAAUUGAGUCUUGAUAUAUAGUUAGAGUGAUUUGUCUUUUGGUACAGCAGACUAUCUUUUGAUCUUGCUGAUUUGUAAAAAACUUCACUUAGUAAUUAAUAAAAUACCUGGUUAUCAAAAAAGAUAAGAAGACCAAGCUACCGCAUCCGACCCGAUUUGGGACAUUUAACUAUGAAACAAUUAAAAUUGCAAUAGUACACCUUGUGUUUAGCAUAAAAUGACAAAUAAAGGGAAGUCUUGUACAUUAAGCUCGUGCUAGAAUGACAUAACGACAAUGUAGAAGUUAAUUACCUCUUUGGUUUGACUAUUUAUAUUACUUGAGCUGAGUUUCUUCUAAUUAAGUUCUUCUCUGCUUGACUAUUCUGAAGGAUAUGAGAGGGGGGGAGCUGGAAAUAUAGUGGAAGAGGAAUGAAUUUUUAAUGGAAAAUACAAAAG
RNAcentral lists this long non-coding RNA (1434 nucleotides) under Nicotiana tabacum (common tobacco). RNAcentral's name for it is "long non-coding RNA (NTAB_LNC016772)". The record is from RNAcentral. Lineage: Eukaryota; Viridiplantae; Streptophyta; Magnoliopsida; Solanales; Solanaceae.